CAUCAGAAUCGCAUCUGUCUUUAGAAGCAUGUGAUCGGAUGUUUUCUUAGGUCUCGUUCUCAGCUGUGUCAACAGCUAUAUGCAGCAAUGUUUUUUUACAGUGGAUAAGGACUUGUGCCGAUUCAAAGGCAGGCAGAGGCUUCCAGCCACAGGAUUCUCAGGCAUCCGUCUCUGCGGUUCUUGGAAAAAGUUGUUCCAUUAGCAUCUUUUUCCUCCGGGGUCACCCGAGCCCGGCAGGCUCACCUCGGGUCCCUCCUCAGUCAUCACGUUCAGCAUUCUCUCGGUCCUCGUGAGGACUUUGUCUCCCUGUCAUGUCCCCUCGUGUCACGGGUGUCUGGGGGUAUUUGGUCCGGAGCUGCUCUGCCCUGGCGCCCAGCCCAGUUGUAGGUGUUUAAGGACAAGUCCCGGGCACUUGUAAUUGGAGAUUUGUAAUACGGGCUGUAGUUGGAGUCUAGCUGGUAUUCUUAUGUUGGCAGCAGGUGUCUGGAGCUGUGAAGUUACCCUGCAGCACUUUGACUUUUUUCCUAACUUUCUUUCAGAUUCAGACAGAUUGACCUCAUGGCAGAGUACUGCAUCCCAGAUGAUGGGGGUCCCCCUGAGAAGGAAGUAAAGCUGGAUAGCAGCGGGGAAGGCGAAGCAGGUGGAAGGUGGUCUACUUGCAAGAUAUCCCAGCCCAGGAUGCUGGAGGACAGGUGGGUGCAAGCUCUGUGUGUGUUUUGGUGUUUAAGUCCCUGGUUUGCUGCUAAACUUUAGUUCUUGAAGAUAGAAUGAAAGAACCACAUCACAAAUCCCACCUUGUGGAUCCUGACACACAUUGGUGUCACGGACAGGAUUCUGAGAGACAGAAGGGGUUGCAGGUUUAUCGUGCAGUCAGUAUCAGGGGAAAGACGGUUCGCCUCAGCCGCCCCUAGCCUGCCACGCCCGUGAGCAGUGUCUAGAAAGCAAGGGAGGUGACUCGAAUUUGUUAAAAACAGCACAUGCCUCAGGGCAAAGCACCCCACACUCGUUUGAGG
This is a non-coding RNA of Cyanistes caeruleus (blue tit), 1013 nucleotides long. The record is from RefSeq and is a predicted model, not a curated record. Lineage: Eukaryota; Metazoa; Chordata; Aves; Passeriformes; Paridae.